AGCUGCUUUAAAUAUGUGGCAAAUAUGUAGCAAGUUAUCUAUAAACAAUGUAUAUAUAAAAACAAUCAUGUGAUUACCUAAAAUUGAAUAUAACUCUAAAAUGUAACUCUAAAGGAACUCCAGGUCUUGACACGACGUGCUUCUACUAUAGUAGUCGCUUCUUGAUUGGGAAGAAGUGAAACUUCAAGCCAUUUUAAAACAUUCAAAUCUAUCUCGAAUUCUGGCUAGUCUUCCUGUCCAGAGUUCCAACUCAAAAAUGUCUUCCAGAAGGGCUGUUUGAUGUGUGAUUUUGGAAGUACCAGUUAUUGAAUAGUACGCACUCCAUCGAGACUUUUCCACUUUCGAUAUAACAGAUCAUUGGAAAGAUACAGAGAUUCCCAGUGAGACCAGUACGCCCCCCAGUAUUCUUCAUCUUCAGCCUUCAGUAAUCCAACUUUGGACCUAGGCCUCCCCCAAUUCAAUCCAGUAUUUUCUAUUUUGCGCCACUUGCUUCCAGUUGUGUCUUCCAAACUUCUUUAUGUCAUCAGCCCAUCUCAUGUGUGGCCUUCCUCUGCUUCUUCUUCCUAACCACGGUCUCCAUUGUUGUAUUUCGUGAUUCCAUCUUUUAUCCUUCAGUAGGGCAUUGUGUCCUGCGAAGCUCCAUUUCAAUACGCCCAGUAUAGUUUAACUAUAUUCGGUUAGUUCGUGCUAAAUCGGUCUUAUUCCAUUUUUAAGCCAUUUCCGUAGGACUUUCAAGUCAUUAUCUUUCCCUUGACUCUUUUUGUUAAGGCUUUCCAGGAUAGUAAAAUUGAUCUUCUUCCUCUUUAAACGUGUUCAUCUAGAUACUUACUUCUUCGGUUACAUUAUUUGCUCAACAGUUGCUCCUUCAAAUGAGCAACUUCAGAUUCCAGAGUAUUUUUUUAAAGUUAUUUCUACAUUUAAAAAACUAUUGAGUAUUUUUGUCCAUUAUAAUGUACAUCCCUAACAACACACAACAUUCCAGGAAUGUACUACCAAAGUUCUAUCAAUAUUUGAAUGUCCUGGACAUUUAGGGAACAUUCGGUGAACAUCUGUUUAAAUUAUUCCUGGAAUGUUACCAUAAGACAUUCUGUGAACAUACUACCAAUGUUCCUAUAUUUUAAGUUGCGAAAUAAUACAUACGUGUAAGAGAUACAACAUUACUUAUAACAUACCAGACAAACUAAGUGACAUUUUAGGCCUACAGUGCAAUAAUAUGUCAAAUUUAAAGAGUUUCCCAAGAUUAUAAACAUACAAAUGUAAUAAAAAUUAUUGUUCGCGAAUAUUCAAUUUGGAAUGCGAUUUUGUUCAUAAAAAAAAUACUUAUAACUUAUGCAAAACCCAAGAGAGGCAUUUAUAUUUAUUUCUUUUGCGUUCAUUUUCAAAUUCGCCGUGCAUAUAUUUUUGUGCAUGGCGCUUGAGAGGGCAUCACGUGACUAAAAACGACCAACCAACGACCUCGCUUCGGCCAUCUUGGCAUCUUCAUCUUGGCGACCUUGCCUUGCCGUGGAUUGUUUUUAGUUGUUUGUAUUAUUUGUGCUUUUUAAGAAUAUUUUUUUAAUUCGGAUACUUUUAUAAUAGCUUUAAUAGUAUUAUUAACAUAGUGCAUAAAAUGGUGUCCUGUUUUUAACGCAGUUGGAGUAGCAGAAACAAAUGUAGAUAAAAAAAUCUGCAGGAAUAACGUUUCAAUUAUGACAGAAGCUCAAAACAAAUGACUGUGAAUGAAAAGCCCUAUUAAAAGCUUUCCAGAAGAUCCUGCGAAGAAGACAUGAAGUAUAGAUCAGAUUUGUUAAUAGAGGAGUAUGUUCAAAACACUUUUUAGAAAAGGAUAUUGACAGAACUUCACUUUCAUCUGUUCGUUUGAGAGACUGUGCUGUUCCAAUAGCUUAUGUCACACAGAAUCAGCUGAGAGAAGUGGUCUACAAAAAACCAGAAAGGAAACGGAAUAUGUGGCUACGAAAAGCAAAAGAAAGGUUUACAAAGCAAAUGUGACACAUUUUUUUAUAAUAUUUAGGAAUGUCAGCAAAUUACAUUAAAAAAUGUAUGUAAAGAUUUUUUGCAAUAAAAAUGUUUAUAUUUAUCAAGGAUGUAUUAUUUGGUAUGGCCAUAUAUCGUCAGUGAUGUGACAGUACCUCCUAUCUGUUUUUUUCAAGAGAUUUGUAAGAUAGACUAAAAACUUGUUUCAGCCACCUC
Molecule: long non-coding RNA, 2190 nt
Filed under: Diabrotica virgifera virgifera (western corn rootworm)
Lineage: Eukaryota; Metazoa; Arthropoda; Insecta; Coleoptera; Chrysomelidae
Description: uncharacterized LOC126887294
Source: RNAcentral